Long non-coding RNA from Triticum dicoccoides, 2557 nucleotides. RefSeq lists it as uncharacterized. The transcript has 5 exons. The record is from RefSeq and is a predicted model, not a curated record. Lineage: Eukaryota; Viridiplantae; Streptophyta; Magnoliopsida; Poales; Poaceae.
GUUGGCUCUGGAUGGAUGAGGUCACGCAAGGCGCCGAUUGGGUGAGAACCCUAGCAUCCACUCCCCGUCGCCGUUCCUCUCAUGCCGCCUACCUCACCGCUGCUGCUCUCCUCGCCGAGCUCGCUCGCCGCCGCCGCAUCCCAUCCCGGUCGCGCUCCCGCCACCAUCCCGGUCACCACUAUCACGGGGCAGUACGAGGUCUUUGUGUUAGUUUUGUAAGCCAUGGUGUAUUAGAAGCAAACACAUGCUAAGUGGGCUUCAUUCUGCAACUCUGAAAUUCUGUACAAUCAUCGAUGUGCAUUGUUCUCUCCAGCAGAUUAGUAGUCUCCUAAUUAAUAACCCCACCACGAUUAUGAGCAUAACUUUAUUCAGCUUUUCUAUGUGUUGUGGUAGAUCUACUAUACGUGAUAGAUAACAGCAGUAGGUUAAUUUGAUGGGCAUCAUAUGGACAUGUUCUAAAUUAUACGGUUACAUUCGUCUUCACUUUUCUGUUGUUACUGGUAGCAUUUAUCUACUAUCCUGCUACUGCACUAUUUUACAAAGGAAAAUUUAUUCGAUCAUUCAUUUUCUUGAGAUUUACUUCAUAUAUUGAUGUAGUUUGUUUUGAUUUCAGCAAUGCAGAAUAAUGUUUAUGGGAAGAUCGGACAAGAAGAGGUUGAACUCCGAUUCCACCCUAUGUUGUUUGCUGCUUAAAAUUAGUCGACUGUGUGUUGUCUUGGUCAUUAUCAGUAUUUAUGUCCAUGAGGUUUGGAGUAGGCCCAGAAUGCUUUCGUAAUUCAGUUCAGAUUUCCAUGUGCUGUAAUGACUAUUCAGUUGGAUUGGCUUAGAACUACAAAGGUUGAGGAUAAGCCAUUCAUCCUAUAGGUUGUAGGUGUAAUUGAUCAAACAAUUGAUCACAUUGUAGUCAAGAUUGUAGAGCUUAAAUGGUUCUUUCUUUCUAUAUGUUGUUGAUUCUCUUGGCCUUGAUUCUGAAUUGUUGUUGCUCUUUGCAAAUUGUAGGUAUGCAUUCCUACCAGGUUUGUUGUUUGGAAAUGCCAGUCACAUCAUUUCUGAAUUCGGAAUUGUGAAGGGUCCAAUGAAAAUCCAAGCAAGUUGUGGAGUGAUAUUAUUGUUGUUUCUUGCAGGAUGGGGAUUGAUAAUUGGAAUAUUGAAUGGGUACAUUCACCGGACAUGAGGGGUUGCCAAUGUUAUGGGCUUGAUUGGUUUGUGAGUUGCACCAGGAUUAUGCUUUGAAGGGGCAAGGAGCGGCGAUCCAAUAUACACCAACGAUGAAGGUAUAUUCGUAUACAAUAUGUAGCAGCACAGUCAUCUCGGGCGCCUCGUGGCAGAGAGAGUGAAAGUGAUGUUUUUAUGAUGGUACGAUGGCCUAGACCUGUGUUAUUUUAUUUAUUAUUAUUAUCAAACUUCUUUAGUUACACUCUUCUUGUACUAAUGGUCUAUAUACGUGCUUUGUACUCUGAAUCCAUCAUGUGCUUUGAAUAUUUAUACAAGCCCCUUUAUGCACAAUUUGGCGAUAGCAUAUGCCCGAGUAGUUUAAUCAGUCGAGUUUCAGGUUACUUAUUCAUUCGAUUUUGAAAAAGCAAUAAUGAUAUAUUCAACUAAAAAUCUGUUCCAAAGAAAAAAAAAUUAUGUACUAAUUUACACUGCAUAAAAUGAGCAUUACUAUUUCUUGAGAAUGAUGUCAGGAUAAUGAAGUUCUGUUUGCAAAGCACUUUCUUCCAUAUGUUUCUUUAUUUGCUUACUGUACUUUCCAACUUUUUGUUUGGAAAAUAGUAUACUUUGAGUUUGUUUUACUGCCUGGAGAAAGAAUGAGAGCCCUUUCUCACAGGGGCGUUCACGUGGAUGACCAAACUGAGUCUUCUUCUUUUUUAUAUCUCCAAAUUCAAAUAUGGUUUGAUUUGAUAGAAUAUCAGUCUAACAUGUUGAGAUUGUGAGUCUACAAAAACAAUUAAAGAUACUAUCAAUUCAUAGCUCCCCUCAUUUUUGUAAAUUAUUCUCACAUGAAAAAUACUGUUUGUUCCUCUCUUUUUUACUGCAAAACGCAAGGAGAAAGGACGAUAUGGUAGUCAAGUUCUUCCUGGAAAUCUUGCCUUGGUUGAUCUUGCGGGUAGGCCUUAGUCUCAGUUUGAUCUUGCCGUUCUGCGUCUCAAUGUUGAUGACUACCAUGAGGCACUGCACAGUUAAGCUCCUCUGGACCACGGUGUGUUGGUUAGAUGUGCUCUCGCAUUGAUGGUCUAGCGAAUGGACGUCUCGACGUGUGUUAGAUGGUGAUGCUUCUUCCUAGGUCCAUCGUCCCUUUUGUCGUGCCGUAUUGCUUGCGAUGCGAUGUUCUGUUACACCGACCCCAGAAAACUUUAAUGUGGUGCUUGUGAAAGACCAACCGCUGUUGAUAUUAUGAUGGCAUUCUAUUUUGUGUGGUGUUUGUUUAGCUCUUGGUUGCUAACGAUGUAUUAUCAGUGCCAUGAUAUGGUGCUUCUGAUGGAUUAACUACUCCGUGGUUUUAAUGUUGGUUUUCUAAUCCGUUUACUGUGUCGUAUCAUAUGUUUUAUUUCCUGUA